Molecule: long non-coding RNA, 2974 nt
Organism: Passer domesticus (house sparrow)
Lineage: Eukaryota; Metazoa; Chordata; Aves; Passeriformes; Passeridae
Exons: 2
Source: RefSeq, a predicted model, not a curated record
UUUGUAAGGCAAAGUGAUUAAUGAGUGGCCAUGAGAAAGGUUCUCUUAAUGCUGUAAAUUUUUUAUGACCCUGCACAAUUGAUUGUCCCCAAAAUAUCCUGUUUUUGUACAAGCAGCUUCAUUAAUAUCUAGCCCUGAUUCUAAAUAAUGCAGUGCCUACAACACAAAGUGAUGUGUGUACAAAGUGAUGCUGUGCCUGUUUCUGCUCUGCCUUGCAGGAGCCUGGUGCUGACAGCCCAGCCUGCCUGCAGCUUUUAGGGCAUUUUUACAAAAAAAUUGUGCUCCAUUACAAGCAAAGCAGCCAGGAGUGCUGAUGGUGCUGCAGAGGCAGUGCAGGUAAUGUGAGAGAGGUCCUUCCUCAGGGCCUCCUGCACGCCCAGCUUUGCUUGUGCAGCUCUACACGUGCCUCUCUCUGACACAAAGACCCUUCUUGGUCACCUCGUGUGCUGGAUGUCCCCUUGCAGGCAGCAUUGAGGGUUACAGCCUUGCCUGGUAGUCCAAAUUCUUGCUUGGCAAACUUGAGGGAAGAUUCCCCUCCAUAAAAUCCCUGCCACAGGCAGGACUGAUCAGGUGGCAUCUCCUGUGGAGGUGGAAAGGACCCAAAAGGGAACCUCCUGGAAGCUGCAGCUGAUCAGUGCUGGGUUGGGAAAACAGAGGGUGAAUACUUUGUGGUUGCUAUCAGAAUUAUGUGAGGUAUCAGUGUUUGGGGACAGGGCAGUGCCUGGCUGGAAUGAAGCACUGCACAGUGCCCAGCCCAUUGAUCAAACCUGCAAAGGGGGUGUUCAAAACAGCUGCUCUUUUGCCUUUAUUAAUGAAGCUGUUGAUGAGGAACAGAUUUCUUUCCCCUCUCCCCAGGGUUUCAGGUCAUUCCCCUGUAUUUGGAGCAGUGAGGCUCAAUGUGCUAUUGUAAAGCCUCGUGUUCUGAUCGUUAUCUUGUUGACUCAAACUAACCUUCCUUCCUGAAAUAACUAUUGACAUGGCCCUUCAUGGGUUUUUUUGGUUUUUUUUAACAGCACUAAUUGGAUUAAAGUAAUUGUCACGCGUGAAGGAUGCGUGUUGGAGCACAAAGGGCACAGGGGAGGCUCAGCUGUGGGCACCAUGGUUACUGUGACAUCACUGGUUUGCUGUUCCCAGCAAGGAUUCGGUGCAGCUGAAGCUGGAGUGAGGGUGGCCCAAACUGGGGGAUUGCUGAUGCAGCCCCUCCCGUUGCCAUGGAAACAGAGGAUGCAGUUUCAAGUUGCCUGCAUGCAUAACGUGGUGCUCGUGGUGUAAACAAAACCAGGGUCCUGUGGUGCCCACAGCUUCUGGAAGGGCAGGAAUGGUGUCGUGGGCAGAGUGAGGAAUCCUGUUGUGGUUGGACUUCUUUCCCAUUGACUUUACUGUGCACAAUGAGACAGAGUGAGCCUUGCUUUGAGGGACAAGAGCUAAACUCACAAGUCCCUUGCUGUCCUGAGCAGUUUUGUGGUUGAGGGAUUGCCAGUCCAACUUGAUGUAAUUGUUUCAGAUUGGACCUUACAAAGUGCAGGCUCAAAAGUUCUGUUAAAACCAUCCCUGGGAUAACAGGGUUCCCAUUAUUAAAGUUAAGCCCCUGCCUACCUUUAAGAUUUUCUUUCUAAUAUAACCAUUUAGAUUGUUCUCAACUCCUGCAAAACAGGAGCAGAGAAGCUUCCCUGUUUGAGGACUGGUUUAAUAUAUUUUGAUAAAGGUCCCUACUCCAGCAAAGAGCACUGUCACAAAAUGGUUGGGGUGCUGAAAUGGGUACUGGAUGUAGCCCUGCCAGCAGCUCUGUGUCUUCAAGUUACUUUCUUCAAAAUGGUGCUUUUUUGUUGAUUCCGUGAUCUUUAAUGUGAGGGCACUCAACUGUUCUGACUGGGGCACAAAAGCCUCUGACAGCCAGAAGUUGUGUGUGCUGUUGUACUUCAGCACUCUCCUGCAUAAGUAACAGUAGGGGUGAUUUUUAAUUUAGUUCCUGUAACUUCCUGUUUGCUUUUAGAACACUGUGCACUGAUAAAAUUAUGUUGGUUUUGAUGUGACAAGAAGUUCUGAAUUUUGGCUUCUCUUAAGAGUGGAAUAGCUCCAUCUUUUGUGCUCCCUUCUUUCACUCUGAACAAAGCUCUUUGCCCUGGUUAUGGUGAUGUGAUUUUGAGUGUUUCAGAUCUUUGACAUACACAUAAAGAAAAGAAAAGAACAAGUUGUAAAAUAUGAAACUGUGGUACUUUUAGGAUAACCCAGCAUUUUGUUUUACAGUCAAAGACAUGGGUUUUGUUUACCUGCAGUAAACAGUGGCCAUGAAUGGGGCCUGGUCUAUCAGAUAUCUGCAUCAGCAGGCAGAAGGUGGUGGUGAAAGCAGAUUGCUGGUAAUGAAUUAGAUGUCAGCUCAAAUGCUGGUGAAGGAGUGGUUAACAGAAGCCAGAGCUGAGUCAUUCCGCAGCACAGGCUGGAGGCAGAGCUACACCCUGAGCAGCACACCCUGCCUGCCCAUGGUACCCAUGUGCAGAGUCCCUGCUGGGAAAACCCAUCCAGAAUAAACCAAGCAUUCCUUCCAGGACCUUUUGGUGCUUCCAUCAUCGGCUUUCUGGGUUUUGGUGCUGUUUAAUUCUGGCAGCUAUGGCUGGAAUGUGCUGUUGUAUUUUGUGCUGGUUUGUUUGUGGUGUUUGACUGCUGAUCCUGCCACAAUAAGCCAAAUUACAUGGCUGAGACGACAGGCUGCUUUUCUCAUAACCUCUCCCAGCUUUUCUGUUAAAGUUUGCAACAUGCAAGGUCCCAGCCACCGUGUCACUGGUACCUCCUCAGUACCUGGUGCCUGCAGGUGAGAGUGAGGAUGGCAGCUGCUGGAGCAUAGCAAGGAAGGCUCUUGGUGGUGGGAAGACGACACCACUUUGGAAAAUCAAUUGUUUGGUAAUCUUAGUGCUGGGGUGCUGCUGCAGCUCUGCUGUGCUCAAAAGGAGUCCUAGAAACCAUCCCCAGUGUCCAG